Small RNA from Xanthomonas oryzae pv. oryzae, 74 nucleotides. It matches the Rfam family "Xanthomonas sRNA sX9". The record is from Rfam. Lineage: Bacteria; Pseudomonadati; Pseudomonadota; Gammaproteobacteria; Lysobacterales; Lysobacteraceae.
AUGUGCCACGCGUACAUUCCGGUUCUAGGCACGCCGUCCACGCCCCGCUGAAAACUGCGCGCGACGUUUAGGUC